CUACGGGAGGCAGCAGUGGGGAAUAUUGGACAAUGGGCGAAAGCCUGAUCCAGCCAUGCCGCGUGUGUGAAGAAGGCCUUCGGGUUGUAAAGCACUUUCAGUGGGGAAGAAAGCCUUGGGGCUAAUACCCUCGAGGAAGGACAUCACCCACAGAAGAAGCACCGGCUAACUCCGUGCCAGCAGCCGCGGUAAUACGGAGGGUGCGAGCGUUAAUCGGAAUUACUGGGCGUAAAGCGCGCGUAGGCGGUCUGAUAAGCCGGUUGUGAAAGCCCCGGGCUCAACCUGGGAACGGCAUCCGGAACUGUCAGGCUAGAGUGCAGGAGAGGAAGGUAGAAUUCCCGGUGUAGCGGUGAAAUGCGUAGAGAUCGGGAGGAAUACCAGUGGCGAAGGCGGCCUUCUGGACUGACACUGACGCUGAGGUGCGAAAGCGUGGGUAGCAAACAGGAUUAGAUACCCCAGUAGUC
Molecule: ribosomal RNA, 464 nt
Filed under: Vreelandella stevensii
Lineage: Bacteria; Pseudomonadati; Pseudomonadota; Gammaproteobacteria; Oceanospirillales; Halomonadaceae
Description: partial 16S ribosomal RNA
Rfam family: Bacterial small subunit ribosomal RNA
Source: RNAcentral